This 2203-nucleotide long non-coding RNA is filed under the name Citrus sinensis (sweet orange). RNAcentral describes it as "long non-coding RNA (CSIN_LNC003895)". Lineage: Eukaryota; Viridiplantae; Streptophyta; Magnoliopsida; Sapindales; Rutaceae. The record is from RNAcentral.
CCGGGUCCCACGCGCAGUCGUGAACGAGCUUACGCAUGGACGGGGCAACAUUUAACCCCCGCGGCAAAAACGACGAAGCUUUGGAAAAAUUGUGUUUUAGAGCUGGGUUGAGGAGUAGAGAUUGGAGAGAUUGGAAGGUGGAAUCGGGACGGUCAAAGGAAAGAGAGAGAGAAGGGAAGGGGAUCUUUAAAAGAGAAGUGGGGAGAGGGAGGAGAAGAAGGAUUUGAAAGAGAAAAGAGAGGAACGGAGAGGCGGGAAUGAGAUUAAGGUUUUCACUGCAACUAAAAGAGUAAUCAUGUAUGGCUCUUGGUCUUGGAGAUGAAGGAGAGGAUUCAGGUCGAUUAAGAGGACUAUACGCUGCAUUUUGGUGUAGUCUGCCGCCAUUGGUAGAAGUUUCGAAGUGGGUUUCUGUUUAGAUCCGAGUUUGACGAAGAAACGUGGUGGUUGCGCUUGGGACAAUAUUGUUUUUGCACUGGUCAAUGUAGAAAUUAAACGAUGGUAGGGUGUUUUUUUAUAAAUAAAUGAAUUCUCGCCAUUUAUAACAAGCCGAAACCUCAAAAGAAGAUUUUAAAAAUUACCCGAAGAUUCGAAAAAUAGUAGAGAAUUUUUUAAAAAGCUAGAACAGAGCAUGCUAGACUUUUGUGGACCAAAUUCAAAAGCCGAAGGGCACGGCCCAAAAGCUUUUGAAUACAAUAACUUACUAGAAAGCUCCAUUUUUUGUUGGCUACAGUAAAAGUAUGUUGUUUUAUGCUUCUUAUAUGUUACGCUUGCAUCAGCCUCAAUCACUUCUUAAUCGCUUGCUUUAACUGCAUCGCUCUCUGUGUACUCUUCUACACAUGUAACGGUUAUGCGGUUGUAGUUCACGGCUGAGGCUACGUGUUGGUUUGACGCGGCAGUUACGUUACGACAUUACGAGUCUGUUAAACAUUCGGUGAUAGAGCAUUAUUAGUUAUUUUAAGGGGACAAAUAAGAUUGGUUGCAAUAAACCCACUAAUAUUAUAAAAUUCGAGUAAUAUAGAAUAAAAUAAAAAAAUAAAUACAAAAUUGGCUUUUAUUUUUUAUGGUUGACUGUAUUUUGUGUUCUCUUAACAACUUAAGUUCACAACACUUGCAUUCUAAAGGCUUCCCACUAACAUCUAAUAUCUCAAGACUCAACGUUGCUUUACAAUAAUUGUUAUUACUACCAAACAAACAUGAAGAAACCCCGAUUAUCGGAUAAAUCAACCCAAAAUGAACAAGAGAAGAACCCAAAACAAGUGAAUCGCUAGAGCAAAACCCCCAACCCAUAUCCCUAAUCCCACACUCAAAAAAACCCAAUUUCUCUCCAAAGUCAUUGACACUAGCAUCACUACUAGACUCUAAUUCCAAUCCUAGAUUACAUUUAAUGUUAACCCAACUAAAAUGAAUGUUCUUACUACAAUACGCAUCGUUUACACUCUCAAACAACGCGCUGAACUUACUCUUAAACGAUCCCACAUUGGUCAAACACUCAUCACUCACAUCGACAUCCAAGAAUUCACUCAAAAACUUCAUAGACUCGACAAUUGGAGAAAACAAAACCACUAAACUCAACUUUAUACAAGCAUACCCAUCGAGAAUCUUACCGUCAUUAACCGAAUCACAACAAAUGACCGGGUCCCACGCGCAGUCGUGAACGAGCUUACGCAUGGACGGGGCAACAUUUAACCCCCGCGGCAAAAACGACGAAGCUUUGGAAAAAUUGUGUUUUAGAGCUGGGUUGAGGAGUAGAGAUUGGAGAGAUUGGAAGGUGGAAUCGGGACGGUCAAAGGAUAGAGAGAUAGAAGGGAAGGGGAUCUUUAAAAGAGAAGUGGGGAGAGGGAGGAGAAGAAGGAUUUGAAAGAGAAAAGAGAGGAACGGAGAGGCGGGAAUGAGAUUAAGGUUUUCACUGCAACUAAAAGAGUAAUCAUGUAUGGCUCUUGGUCUUGGAGAUGAAGGAGAGGAUUCAGGUCGAUUAAGAGGACUAUACGCUGCAUUUUGGUGUAGUCUGCCGCCAUUGGUAGAAGUUUCGAAGUGGGUUUCUGUUUAGAUCCGAGUUUGACGAAGAAACGUGGUGGUUGCGCUUGGGACAAUAUUGUUUUUGCACUGGUCAUUGUAAAAAUUAAAUGACGGUAGGGAGUUUUUUUAUAAAUAAAUGAAUUCUCGUCAUUUAUAACAAGUCGAAACCUCAAAAAAGAUUUUAAAA